UACGGAGGGUGCGAGCGUUGUCCGGAAUUACUGGGCGUAAAGCGUGCGUAGACGGUUAUCUAAGUCGGAUGUGAAAGCCCCGGGCUCAACCUGGGAAUUGCAUUCGAGACUGAAUAGCUAGGGUGCGGUAGAGGGAAGCGGAAUUUCCGGUGUAGCGGUGAAAUGCGUAGAUAUCGGAAGGAACAUCAGUGGCGAAAGCGGCUUCCUGGACCAGCACCGACGUUCAGGCACGAAAGCGUGGGGAGCAAACAGG
This 253-nucleotide ribosomal RNA is filed under the name uncultured bacterium. Its description in RNAcentral is "partial 16S ribosomal RNA". It matches the Rfam family "Bacterial small subunit ribosomal RNA", at positions 524 to 776 of the family's 1533-position model. The record is from RNAcentral.